AACGCACGAGACCUGCGGACCUGCGGAAGGAUCAUUACAGAAUCACAAUUAUUUGAGAGUUGUCAUUUCUUUCCUGGGUUGUUUCUCGAGAGAGAGAUGGUUUGGGGGAGGGAGGAUGGCUCUCAUUUACAAACAAACGAUCACAACUAUUAUGCUGUGCUGUGCUGCUUUUCGCUGUGGCGAUGAGCGCGCUUGUGCAUGCAGAACCACAUUGGAGAGGGGGUUGUCUGGUUUCUGGCA
Molecule: unclassified non-coding RNA, 240 nt
Filed under: soil metagenome
Description: partial contains 5.8S ribosomal RNA, internal transcribed spacer 2, and large subunit ribosomal RNA
Source: RNAcentral